RNAcentral lists this non-coding RNA (24 nucleotides) under Arabidopsis thaliana (thale cress). The record is from RNAcentral. Lineage: Eukaryota; Viridiplantae; Streptophyta; Magnoliopsida; Brassicales; Brassicaceae.
AGCUCCUUACGUAUUCAUCAGCCU